Molecule: RNA transcript, 2069 nt
Organism: Cebus imitator (Panamanian white-faced capuchin)
Lineage: Eukaryota; Metazoa; Chordata; Mammalia; Primates; Cebidae
Gene name: 60S ribosomal protein L6-like
Exons: 1
Source: RefSeq, a predicted model, not a curated record
UAAAACAAAAAGAAGUUACCAUACUAGAAGGUAUUAAUUAGACCUGAAAUAAGUAAUCACAAACAUAAUUUUUUUGUUCUUCCAGGAGUAUUUCAAACUCAGUGGAUUGUAUCAUUGUUUCCAUCCUGUGAAAUCUGAAUGAUUUUUCCCACAGAAAUAAUUAAGUAAUAGAGCCUUGUUCACAAAGCUGGAAAACUCAAAUCCUUAGGAGAACACUGUAGAGGACUAAAGGACAAACAAUAUAAGGAUGGAACAAUUUCACAUGGUGUCAAAGAUUUAUGGGGAGAGAAAAAGGAUUCUUAAGUAUUUCACAUGCUUAUGAAAUGUGUAUGCUAAAAUAAAUAUCAGGACAGACGUCUUUAUUUAAACUUCUAUCAAAUAUUGAAGAAACAGGUUAUUACUAUUUUAUUUAACCUACUCCGACACAUAAAAUGGGAACAAAUAUAUACUUGCAGCUUAUCAAUUUAUUCAGAAUUUGUUUAUUGUCUGUUUUCCCCACUAGCCUUUAAGCACUAUGAGGACAAAUACCACUUCUGUCUCAUUCACCAUUACACCAAGCAUAGUGCCUGGCCGCAGUAGUGCUCAGUUAAGUCCUGCUGAAUCAAUGUUGCUCAAUUUUAAGUUCUCAUAUGAGAUCAGCAUAAUACUGAUACCAAAAACGGACAAAGGAGAAAAAAGAACCAGAAACAUAAUCAUACUUAAUUUUUGUUAAUCGUUGUUUUUAGAGAAAGGGUCUUGCUCUGUUGUCCAUGCUGGAGCGAAGUGGCAUGAACAUAGCUCACUACAGCCUCAAACUCCUGAGCUCCAAAGAUCCUCCUACCUCAGCCUCUCAAGUAUCUGGGACUACAGGAAUGAGCCACCAAACUCAGCUGAUUAUUUAUGUUUUAUAUAUACAUACCCAAAUCCUAAUUAAAAUAGUAGCAAACUAAAUUAAACAGAAAAAUCCUGACCAUAGGAAGCUUUUAGGAAAAGUGAUUCAGUUUCCUUCAACACAAAAAAGCAAGAUGGAAGGAGAACCUACAGGCUGAAAAAGAUCUUAAAGACUACAUCUCAAUCAAUUACAACUUACAGACCUUAUUUGAGUCCCAAUCCAAUAAAACAAUAGGGAACAUGAACACUACAUGAAUCUUUGAUAAUUUGUUAAAGAAUAAGUUCAGCUUUCCCAUCUUGCAAGAUGGCGGGUGAAAAAGUUGAGAAGCCAGAUACUAAAGAGAAGAAACCUGAAGCCAAGAAGGCUGAUGCUGGUAGCAAAGUGAAAAAGGGUAACCUCAAGGCUAAAAAGCCCAAGAAGGGGAAGUCCCAUUGCAGCCGCAAUCCUAUUCUUGUCAGAGGAAUUGGCGGGUAUUCCCGAUCUGCCAUGUAUUCUAGAAAGGCCAUGUACAAGAGGAAGUACUCAGCGGCUAAAUCCAACGUUGAAAAGAAAAAGAAGGUUCUUGCAACUUAGAAAACCAGCUGGUGGUGACAAAAACAGCAGUGCCCGAAUGGUUAAACUUCAGAAAAUGCCUAGGUAUUAUCCUACUGAAGAUGUGCCUCGAAAGCUGUUGAGCCACGGCAAAACACCCUUUAGUCAGCACGUGAGAAAACUGCGAGCCAGCAUUACUCCUGGGACCAUUCUGAUCAACCUCACUGGACGCCACAGGGGCAAGAGGGUGGUUUUCCUGAAGCAGCUAGCUAGUGGCUUGUUACUUGUGACUGGACCUCUGGUCCUCAAUUGAGUUCCUUUGCGAAGAACGCAACAGAAAUUUGUCACUGCCACCUCAACCAAAAUUGAUAUCAGCAAUGUAAAAAUCCCAAAACAUCUUACUGAUGCUUACUUCAAGAAGCAGCAGCUGUGGAAGCCCACACACCAGGAAGGUGAGAUCUUCAACACAGAAAAAGACAAAUACAAGAUUACAGAGCAGCGCAAGAUUGAUCCAAAAGCUGUGGACUCACAAAUUUUACCAAAAAUCAAAGCUAUUCCUCAGCUCCAGGGCUACCUGCGGUUUGUGUUUGCCCUGACAAAUGGAAUUUAUCCUCACAAAUUGGUGUUUUAAAUGUCCUAAUAAUCUAAUUAAAUAACUGAUUACCUU